AGCGAACGCUGGCGGCAGGCCUAACACAUGCAAGUCGAACGAACUCUUCGGAGUUAGUGGCGGACGGGUGAGUAACACGUGGGCACGGGCCUUUAGGUUCGGGAUAACUCAGGGAGACUUGUGCUAAUACCGAAUGUGCCCUUGCGGGGAAAGAUUUAUCGCCUUUAGAGCGGCCCGCGUCUGAUUAGCUAGUUGGUGCGGUAAAGGCUCACCAAGGCGACGAGCAGUAGCUGGUCUGAGAGGAUGAUCAGCCACAUUGGGACUGAGACACGGCCCAAACUCCUACGGGAGGCAGCAGUGGGGAAUCUUGCGCAAUGGGCGAAAGCCUGACGCAGCCAUGCCGCGUGAAUGAUGAAGGUCUUAGGAUUGUAAAAUUCUUUCACCGGGGACGAUAAUGACGGUACCCGGAGAAGAAGCCCCGGCUAACUUCGUGCCAGCCGCCGCGGUAA
RNAcentral lists this ribosomal RNA (449 nucleotides) under uncultured bacterium. RNAcentral describes it as "partial 16S ribosomal RNA". It matches the Rfam family "Bacterial small subunit ribosomal RNA", at positions 29 to 523 of the family's 1533-position model. The record is from RNAcentral.